This 75-nucleotide small RNA is filed under the name Xanthomonas campestris. RNAcentral describes it as "sRNA sX9". It matches the Rfam family "Xanthomonas sRNA sX9". RNAcentral also lists the same sequence under 5 other names. Lineage: Bacteria; Pseudomonadati; Pseudomonadota; Gammaproteobacteria; Lysobacterales; Lysobacteraceae. The record is from RNAcentral.
AUGUGCCCGCGGACACUCCGGUUCCUCCGCGUCGUCCGCACCAACCUGACGAUUAACCGUUCCGCUGUGUUCGCG